ACGAACGCUGGCGGCGCGCCUAACACAUGCAAGUCGAACGAGCGAGAGAGAGCUUGCUUUCUCGAGCGAGUGGCGAACGGGUGAGUAACGCGUGAGGAACCUGCCUCAAAGAGGGGGACAACAGUUGGAAACGACUGCUAAUACCGCAUAAGCCCACGACCCGGCAUCGGGUAGAGGGAAAAGGAGCAAUCCGCUUUGAGAUGGCCUCGCGUCCGAUUAGCUAGUUGGUGAGGUAACGGCCCACCAAGGCGACGAUCGGUAGCCGGACUGAGAGGUUGAACGGCCACAUUGGGACUGAGACACGGCCCAGACUCCUACGGGAGGCAGCAGUGGGGAAUAUUGCACAACGGGGGAAACCCUGAUGCAGCGACGCCGCGUGGAGGAAGAAGGUCUUCGGAUUGUAAACUCCUGUUGUUGAGGAAGAUAAUGACGGUACUCAACAAGGAAGUGACGGCUAACUACGUG
This 465-nucleotide ribosomal RNA is filed under the name uncultured bacterium. RNAcentral's name for it is "partial 16S ribosomal RNA". It matches the Rfam family "Bacterial small subunit ribosomal RNA", at positions 29 to 507 of the family's 1533-position model. The record is from RNAcentral.